UACGAAGGGGACUAGCGUUGUUCGGAUUUACUGGGCGUAAAGCGCGCGUAGGCGGAUCGCUAAGUCAGGGGUGAAAUCCUGGAGCUCAACUCCAGAACUGCCCUUGAUACUGGCGGUCUCGAGUCCGGGAGAGGUGAGUGGAACUGCGAGUGUAGAGGUGAAAUUCGUAGAUAUUCGCAAGAACACCAGUGGCGAAGGCGGCUCACUGGCCCGGUACUGACGCUGAGGUGCGAAAGCGUGGGGAGCAAACAGG
This 253-nucleotide ribosomal RNA is filed under the name uncultured bacterium. RNAcentral's name for it is "partial 16S ribosomal RNA". It matches the Rfam family "Bacterial small subunit ribosomal RNA", at positions 524 to 776 of the family's 1533-position model. The record is from RNAcentral.